UUAACUCAAAUUUGAAUGGAGUUGGAACAGCGCCUCUAGCGGCAAACGUUCCAACUCCAUACAAAUUUGAGUUA
RNAcentral lists this microRNA precursor (74 nucleotides) under Bombyx mori (domestic silkworm). RNAcentral's name for it is "mir-2807 microRNA precursor family". It matches the Rfam family "mir-2807 microRNA precursor family". Lineage: Eukaryota; Metazoa; Arthropoda; Insecta; Lepidoptera; Bombycidae. The record is from Rfam by way of RNAcentral.